AUGAGCAAACAGGAUUGCAGGAGUCAGCAUCAGCUCAGGCUUCCAAAGCGGCUUUCCAGCGCUGCAAGCAGCUGCUGCCCUCGGACACUGCCGCGAUGCUCAGCUCAGUGCGGAGCCACUUAUCCCACGAGGCAAGCAGCAAGGAGCACAAGCAUCAAGCUCUGGUUCUGCCUGCAGUUGUCUGUAUGGUUUCUGGAGCAGCCACAAGACAGGAUUCAGGAGAUGGGGUCAGCACCCAGCCAGCUUCUGCCCAUGUGUGAAUUCCAGCUCGUCAGAUCCUGCUCAUCUCGGGGCUCGCCCCAUCGCUUUCGUGCCCCACUUUGGUUACAGUGCUUGGACCAAGCUUGUCCCUGAUCAUUUCCAGUCCGAAGCACAUGUGUUGUGUAGGAUCUCUCUGCGGUGAGAGGAGGUGUAGACAGGACCUGCACAACUAUUUCAGGCUUCGAUGCCACAUUGCUAACAGGUAGUGAGAUAAAUCCCACAUUACAUUCUCUCUCCAGCCAGUGAAAACAGAAGGAUGCCUUACAGAAGUGAACUUCAGUCUUCAAAUAGCCUAACGCUUCCUGAAACUGCCCAUCUCUUGGUAUCAACUGAGAGGACAACUGGACUGGCUUGCAUCAUCUUAAUUUAGCUGCUUCCAUGAGGUGCCUCCAUUGCAUUUCUGCAAGCAGGUGUACCCUGCAAAACAACCUUUGGUUCAAGUUGGGUCCCCAAACAAUAUCGCAACAGCAAUUUCCAUCAUUAUAAACACAUACACAAUCGAAGUAAUGGAGAAUUACAAUAUAUGAAACUUAUUGUCUUUAGAGUAUUCCUCCCUUGUUCUCCAUGCUGAAAUUCAGUGGCUGGAUUUGGCCCCAAGUCUUCAGCCUGCGAUAGCUGAGCAGACAGAUAACUGCUGGAAUCCCUCUUGGAAAAUUUUCCCAUUUCUGAUGAACAACACGAACUGAUUUAGCUUGGAGUAAUCCACUGCCAAUACCCAAGGUGAUGUCCUUCCUGUGCCCUUGCUUCUGUCAUCCUGCUGAAAUGCAAUAAUGGCCAGCCACCUGCAACUUGUUUUGAUGCCGCUGAUAUUUCUUAUUCUCUUUGCUGCUGCCUGAGGGUAUGCACCAAUCUGUUAAUACAUAUAUAAAUAUUAUCCUUGUUAAUCCCUCAGAGAAAAAUAACAUCAACAAAACUUAUUACCAUUUCCUGUGUGGCUGACUGAAUAAUGUGAACCAGAUGAUGUUUAUAUUUAAAAAAUGAAAAU
Molecule: long non-coding RNA, 1246 nt
Filed under: Anas platyrhynchos platyrhynchos (common mallard)
Lineage: Eukaryota; Metazoa; Chordata; Aves; Anseriformes; Anatidae
Description: lncRNA (ENSAPLG00000026415.1)
Source: RNAcentral